GACAAACGCUGGCGGCAUGCCUAACACAUGCAAGUCGAACGAACGGAACAAACAAGUUUUCUUCGGUAAUAACGGUGGGAAAGCGAGCGGCGGAUGGGUAAGUAACACGUAAGGAACCUUCUACAAAGGAAUAGCUACCAUAAGGAAAAAGUAACACAUACCAAAUAACUAAGCAGACCGGAUGAUAGGGUUUUAAACGGCGUCGGAAGCUUUCGCACAGGAAUGGUCCCGCGGUGAAUUAGCUAGUUGGUAAGGUAAGGGCUUACCAAGGCAACGAUCCAUAGCCGACUUGAGAGACUGAUCGGCCACAUUGGGACUGAGACACGGCCCAAACUCCUACGGGAGGCAGCAGUAGGGAAUCUUCCACAAUGGACGAAAGUCUGAUGGAGCAACGCCGCGUGAGUGAAGAAGGUUUUCGGAUCGUAAAGCUCUGUUGUUGGUGAAGAAGGAUAGUGGUAGUAACUGGCCUUUAUUUGACGGUAAUCAACCAGAAAGUCACGGCUAACUACGUG
Molecule: ribosomal RNA, 512 nt
Filed under: uncultured bacterium
Lineage: Bacteria
Description: partial 16S ribosomal RNA
Rfam family: Bacterial small subunit ribosomal RNA
Source: RNAcentral